CCAGAGGCAGGUUGAACUUCGGUAAAAAGCACUGCGUUUAGAAAUGUAACAACAGCGCUUUAGAAGUCUCUAAAGAAAAGCUUAAUUGUUCGAAUUUAGAUAACUAGGAAACUCGUUGUGACCUACAUUGCUGGUCUGAGUCAGCACUGAACAGCCAGCUUGCAAACUUGUACACACUCCAAUUCUUACCCUCAGCAACGGAUCUUUUGGGUGGAGCUCUUUUCCACAGUUUCUGUAAGCACUUUAUUUGGUGGUUGCUAGUCCCAUGUUUACAAAUAAAUAAAGUUAGAUGGAGAGACAAGGUGGGUGAGGUAAUAUCUUUUAUUGGUAAUAUCCUGGGACCCAGCAGGGCUGUAACACUGCAUACAAAGUUACGUGGAGUCCGUUUCUCGUCUCAUAUCUAGCUUUGUCAAAACUGCCUCCCUACUUGCGGUUUUCAGUACUGUACAGUCAGAAUAGAUGCAAUUUAAGAUUAUUUUAAUAGCUUAUUUGUUAGUAAAAAGCUUAUUUAAGCAAAUAUAAGUUUCUCCAAGUUUAGAAAGGAGGUAAUUAGAAGAAUGACACUGCAUUUUCAGAAGGGCUUCGGAUCACUUAGCUGUGCAGAUCAGAGAUGUUACGUAGUCCCUUAAAGCUCCACGAAGCGGGGACCUGGGGCAGCCCCAGGAAAUAAAGCCUUGCACCUAUUUCUCGAGUCCAAAGCGGCGAAAGGGUUAAGGAGUCCUGAACGGGGCUCGCACAAGGGCAAUUGGAAAAACCGAAUCGCUUCCAAGACAUCCGUUUAGUCAGUACCAAAAAAAAAAAAAAGAAAAAAGAAGCCUUGCAAAAUGUGGUUUGGGGAAACCUGCAGAGGAAAUGGACACAGUCUGCGCUUCAGGGCUCAGUCCUCACGGUGAAGCUGAAGGAAUCAGCAGCUUCCAGUUAACACAAUUCAACCCCAGAUGAUUCUGUCCGUGGACUUCUCCUGUUCAUAGGGUGCAUAGUUUCAUAUGUAUUUUUUUACCACCACACAAAUCAAGCACGCUCGACCAGGUUUUUAAGGAUUGGAUGAUUUAUGUGCAUCAAAUCGGAUCUCUGAAAGCUUUUGUUUCACUCGCAUGUUUGAUAAUAGUUCUGUUAUCAGCAAUGUGCAUCUGUAAAUGUUAAGAAUCUAAAGUUUGUCCUUUAUUGUGACAUUGUAGGAACGAAAAUGUAGAAUAUAAUGAAGUAAACCUUUUAUUACGUUUCAGCACACGACGUAAAAUAAAGUUUCGGAGACGUUAAGUGCAAGGAACUAGACUGUCCUAGAGCAAAAUCGCUUUAAAAAAACAGAGAAAAAGACCCAUGUCAUUACCAAAUGUGGUCUGUAUGAUUUGCUUAAGUAAAUUAACGGGUGUUUGAAAAUGUGCGUGUCACUAUAUAUUGAAUUAAGCAUAUAUUGCUCUAAGUAAUGAAAUAAAAUAAUCUGGAUUUGGUCAGCA
Gopherus flavomarginatus (Mexican gopher tortoise) is the source of this 1457-nucleotide long non-coding RNA. RefSeq lists it as uncharacterized. The transcript is spliced from 2 exons. The record is from RefSeq and is a predicted model, not a curated record. Lineage: Eukaryota; Metazoa; Chordata; Testudines; Testudinidae.